GUGAGGCUGGAGUGAGCAGAGAUCGUACCACUACACUCCAACCUGGUGA
RNAcentral lists this microRNA precursor (49 nucleotides) under Pongo abelii (Sumatran orangutan). Its description in RNAcentral is "miRNA". The record is from RNAcentral. Lineage: Eukaryota; Metazoa; Chordata; Mammalia; Primates; Hominidae.